This is a non-coding RNA of Paramuricea clavata, 713 nucleotides long. The record is from the annotation of a GenBank genome assembly. NCBI's taxonomy places the organism in Eukaryota, Metazoa, Cnidaria, Anthozoa, Malacalcyonacea, Plexauridae.
UGAUUUUUCAAAAUGGCGGAAGGUCAUGGAUUUUUUAACUCGUUCAAUAAUACAAAUUUCAGACCAGAGAACGUCGAUAUGAAUGCAAUAAAGCUAUUAAAUAAUGAAACUAACUUAACUUACGCUGGUAAUCGUAUAAAGUGGACAGGUGACCUUAAUUCAUUAAAGAAUUGUGUCGAAAAUGUUAUUGGUUUGACCGGGACUUGAAAAUCACCUGGUGGAAAUGCUAAGCAGUUUAAAAGUUCAACGUUUGAUUUUACCUUGACCUGGUACCCGAGAAAGCAGAACUCGAUAUUGCUUCAUGGAAAGGAUGGUGAGCUAUUCAAACAAAUUUUGGUAACAGUUUUAGAUACAGAUCAUAUAGUAAGACAAGCAGAUGCUAUCUUAGACAGUUUAUCAGUGAACAUAGCGGAGCCGCAAGGUACCAACUAUAAUACAAGCACUCCCGAACUAUUACAAACAUCAGCUAAAGAUUGUGCUUCUCAGACUAUAAUUCAUGAAACCCCUCAAUGUAAAAACUGUGGAAAUUUGAGGGCAGAAAUGUCUGAACUUUCUGAGAGACUGAAUUGCUUAUUCGAUCUAACGCAUAAAAUUUACAACCUACCAAAUAAAUCGCUAACUACUGACCCACUUCCAAACUCAGGGCAAAGUUUGAUAAACAAAAAAGACACUAACUCUGGGUAUUGCGAUCUUUCUGCUGACCUUGAGGGCGU